UACGGAGGGUGCGAGCGUUAAUCGGAAUUACUGGGCGUAAAGCGCGCGUAGGCGGCUAAGUCAGUCGGAUGUGAAAGCCCUGGGCUUAACCUGGGAACUGCAUUCGAUACUGCUUGGCCAGAGUAUGGUAGAGGGAAGUGGAAUUCCCGGUGUAGAGGUGAAAUCCGUAGAGAUCGGGAGGAACACCGGUGGCGAAGGCGACACUCUGGACGAAUACUGACGCUGAGGCGCGAAAGCGUGGGGAGCAAACAGG
This 253-nucleotide ribosomal RNA is filed under the name uncultured bacterium. RNAcentral's name for it is "partial 16S ribosomal RNA". It matches the Rfam family "Bacterial small subunit ribosomal RNA", at positions 524 to 776 of the family's 1533-position model. The record is from RNAcentral.